CCUACGGGUGGCAGCAGUGAGGAAUAUUGGUCAAUGGUCGGAAGACUGAACCAGCCAAGCCGCGUGAGGGAUGAAGGUACAGAGUAUCGUAAACCUCUUUUGUCAGGGAACAAAGGCGGGGACGUGUCCCCGGAUGAGAGUACCUGAAGAAAAAGCAUCGGCUAACUCCGUGCCAGCAGCCGCGGUAAUACGGAGGAUGCGAGCGUUAUCCGGAUUUAUUGGGGUUAAAGGGUGCGCAGGCGGUUUGGUAAGUCAGCGGUGAAAUGCCCGGGCUCAACCCCGGCCCGGCCGUUGAAACUGGCAGUCUCGAGUUGGAGAGAGGUAUGCGGAAUGCGUGGUGUAGCGGUGAAAUGCAUAGAUAUCGCGCAGAACUCCGAUUGCGAAGGCAGCAUGCCGGCUCCACACUGACGCUGAGGCACGAAAGCGUGGGUAGCGAACAGGAUUAGAUACCCCUGUAGUC
RNAcentral lists this ribosomal RNA (460 nucleotides) under uncultured bacterium. RNAcentral describes it as "partial 16S ribosomal RNA". It matches the Rfam family "Bacterial small subunit ribosomal RNA", at positions 338 to 795 of the family's 1533-position model. The record is from RNAcentral.